RNAcentral lists this non-coding RNA (803 nucleotides) under Alpheus brevicristatus. Its description in RNAcentral is "12S ribosomal RNA". It matches the Rfam family "Microsporidia small subunit ribosomal RNA". Lineage: Eukaryota; Metazoa; Arthropoda; Malacostraca; Decapoda; Alpheidae. The record is from RNAcentral.
GGUGAGUUUGAUUCUUGCUUUGCUUUUAAUAUUUUGGUUGACGCACAUGAAAGUAAAUGUUAAUCUGAGGGGGCGAUUGAGUCGGGUUUAAGAGUUCUCAGUGCAUAGGAUUGGUUUAUAAAAAUAUUUUUGAUCCAGCAAUCAGGUAAAAGCCCAGGCUAAAAUUGUGCCAGCAGCCGCGGUUAUACUGAUCGGGCAGUUAUAAGUUUGUUGGGAUUGAAGUGCUAGGAUUUUAGUUGUUAAAUUAAUUUUAUAGAAGUAAAAAAGUGAAAUCUAUUAAUUGUUAGUGAAGUUGAUUAGGACGCUAGGGGUCUUGAAACUUUAGAGUGCGGGGGAUAGAAUAGGAUUAGAUACCCUGUUAUACCUGGUUGGAAUUAAUUGAAAUCUUAGGGUAGUAAGAAGGUAUGAUCUUGAAACUCAAAGAAUUUGGCGGUAUUUAAGUCCGGUUAGAGGAAUUUGCGCAGUAAACGAUAAACCCCGAGAAUUUUGCCUUGUUUUGAGAUAUCAGUUUGUAUACCGCCAUUAUAAGAUAAUCUUAUUAGAGAGUUGUUGUAAUUAAAUUAGAUUAAGUAUAUUAGGUCAAGGUGCAGCGUAUAGCAAGGGUGUCGUGAAUUACAUUGGUUUAAGAGUCAAACGAAUAGACUGGGGGAGAUUGGUCUUGAAGGUGGAUUUAAUUGUAAGGGGUGUAUAUUAUGCGUCCUUGAUAGAGGCUCUUAAAUAUGUACACAUCGCCCGUCGUUCUCACUUUAAGGUGAGGUAAGUCGUAACAUAGUAGGUGUGUUGGAAAAGGCACCUAGAAGUAG